RNAcentral lists this ribosomal RNA (483 nucleotides) under uncultured bacterium. RNAcentral's name for it is "bacterial SSU rRNA". It matches the Rfam family "Bacterial small subunit ribosomal RNA", at positions 29 to 487 of the family's 1533-position model. The record is from RNAcentral.
AACUAACGCUGGCGGCGUGCCUAACACAUGCAAGUCGUACGAGAAAGUUGGCUUCGGCCGAUGAGUACAGUGGCGCACGGGUGAGUAACGCGUGGAUAAUCUGCCCUUAAGUGUGGAAUAACGUACCGAAAGGUGCGCUAAUACCGCAUAAUGCCUGGCAACAUAAGUUGUCCGGCCAAAGAAGGCCUCUGCUUGCAAGCUUUCGCUAAAGGAUGAGUCCGCGUACCAUUAGCUAGUUGGUGGGGUAACGGCCUACCAAGGCGACGAUGGUUAGCUGGUCUGAGAGGAUGAUCAGCCACACUGGAACUGAGACACGGUCCAGACUCCUACGGGAGGCAGCAGUGAGGAAUAUUGCGCAAUGGGGGCAACCCUGACGCAGCAACGCCGCGUGAGUGAGGAAGGUUUUCGGACCGUAAAGCUCUGUCGAGCGGGAAGAAAUGUAUCAUGGCUAAUAUCCAUGAUACUUGACGGUACCGCUAAAGG